This 1736-nucleotide ribosomal RNA is filed under the name Corynebacterium ulcerans. RNAcentral describes it as "bacterial LSU rRNA". It matches the Rfam family "Bacterial large subunit ribosomal RNA", at positions 1 to 1580 of the family's 2925-position model. The record is from RNAcentral. Lineage: Bacteria; Bacillati; Actinomycetota; Actinomycetes; Mycobacteriales; Corynebacteriaceae.
GUGUUGUUUUUUAAGGGCACACGGUGGAUGCCUUGGCAUUAUGAGCCGAUGAAGGACGUGUAAGGCCGCGAUAGGCCUCGGGGAGUUGCCAAUAGAGCGUUGAUCCGAGGGUGUCCGAAUGGGGAAACCUGGCCAUAGUUAUGUGUGGUUACCCUUCAGUGAAUUCAUAGCUGUUGUGGGGGUUUACGCGGGGAAGUGAAACAUCUCAGUACCCGUAGGAGAAGAAAACAAUUGUGAUUCCGUUAGUAGUGGCGAACGAACGUGGAUGAGGCUAAACCAUGUGCGUGUGAUACCUGGCAGGGGUUGCGUGUGUGGUGUUGUGGGGUGUGUGCGUUAAAAAGGCUGCCAUCUUUUUGCUGGUUUGUGCAUGUGUUAGCGGAAGUGGUGUGGGAACGCCUGCCGUAGAAGGUGAGAGUCCUGUACGUGAAAGCAUGUGUGCGCUGGUUGUGCAUGUCCCCGAGUAGCAGCGGGCUCGUGGAAUCUGCUGUGAAUCUGCCGGGACCACCCGGUAAGCCUAAAUACUUGUAAUGACCGAUAGCGGAUUAGUACCGUGAGGGAAUGGUGAAAAGUACCCCGGGAGGGGAGUGAAAUAGUACCUGAAACCGUGUGCUUACAAUCCGUCAGAGCCUCUUUUGUGGGGUGAUGGCGUGCCUUUUGAAGAAUGAGCCUGCGAGUCAGCGGCAUGUCGCGAGGUUAACCUUUUGGUGGGUAGCCGUAGCGAAAGCGAAUCCUAACGAGGGUGUUGUUAGUGGCAUGUCCUGGACCCGAAGCGGGGUGAUCUACCCAUGGCCAGUGUGAAGCAGAGGUAAGACUUUGUGGAGGCGCGAACCCACUUAGGUUGAAAACUGAGGGGAUGAGCUGUGGGUAGGGGUGAAAGGCCAAUCAAACUCCGUGAUAGCUGGUUCUCCCCGAAAUGCAUUUAGGUGCAGCGUUGCGUGUUUCUUGCUGGAGGUAGAGCUACUGGUUGGUUGAGCGGGACUACAAUCUUAGCAAUGUCAGCCAAACUCCGAAUGCCGGUAAUGUUAUAGCGUGGCAGUGAGACUGCGGGGGAUAAGCUCCGUUGGUCGAGAGGGAAACAGCCCAGAUCGCCGGUUAAGGCCCCUAAGCGUGUACUAAGUGGAAAAGGAUGUGGGAUCGCGAAGACAGCCAGGAGGUUGGCUUAGAAGCAGCCAUCCUUGAAAGAGUGCGUAAUAGCUCACUGGUCGAGUGGUUCUGCGCCGACAAUGUAGUGGGGCUCAAGUACACCGCCGAAGCCGCGGCAGUCAACAUUUUUUGUUGGUUGGGUAGGGGAGCGUCGUGCAUGUGGUGAAGCAUUUGGGUGACCGGGUGUGGAGUGUGUGCGAGUGAGAAUGCAGGCAUGAGUAACGAAUGAAAAGUGGAAAACUUUUCCGCCGGAUGACUAAGGGUUCCUGGGUUAAGCUAAUCUUCCCAGGGUGAGUCGGGACCUAAGGCGAGGCCGACAGGCGUAGUCGAUGGAUAACCAGUUGAUAUUCUGGUACCCGUGGUGAUGCGACAAGUGGUGAAUCAGUGGUACUAACCGCCCAUUAAUUGCAUGUGUUCAUACUUUGUGUGGGUGUGUGUGGUUGUGCGUGGGACCUUCGUUGGUAGUAGCCAAGUGAUGGGGUGACGCAGUGAGGUAGCCGAGCCACUUAUUGGAUUGUGGUGUAAGCGUGUGGCCCGUGGCAUAGGUAAAUCCGUGCUGCAUAUAAGGGUGAGGCGUGAUGCGUAGACCUUUU